UCAGGCCUAACACAUGCAAGUCGAGCGGGGUUUUCGGACCUAGCGGCGGACGGGCGAGUAAUGCGUAGGAAGCUACCCGAUAGAGGGGGAUACCAGUUGGAAACGACUGUUAAUACCGCAUAAUGUCUACGGACCAAAGUGUGGGACGUUCGGGCCACAUGCUAUCAGAUGAGCCCAUGUCGGAUUAGCUUGUUGGUGGAGGUAAAGGCUCACCAAGGCGACGAUCCGUAACUGGUCUGAGAGGAUGAUCAGUCACACUGGAACGGAGACACGGUCCAGACUCCUACGGGAGGCAGCAGUGGGGAAUAUUGG
RNAcentral lists this ribosomal RNA (312 nucleotides) under uncultured bacterium. RNAcentral describes it as "bacterial SSU rRNA". It matches the Rfam family "Bacterial small subunit ribosomal RNA", at positions 43 to 367 of the family's 1533-position model. The record is from RNAcentral.